UGGGGAAUAUUGCACAAUGGGCGCAAGCCUGAUGCAGCGACGCCGCGUGGGGGAUGACGGCCUUCGGGUUGUAAACCUCUUUCAGUAGGGACGAAGCGUGAGUGACGGUACCUACAGAAGAAGCACCGGCCAACUACGUGCCAGCAGCCGCGGUAAUACGUAGGGUGCGAGCGUUGUCCGGAAUUACUGGGCGUAAAGAGCUCGUAGGUGGUUUGUCGCGUUGUUCGUGAAAACCGGGGGCUUAACCCUCGGCGUGCGGGCGAUACGGGCAGACUGGAGUACUGCAGGGGAGACUGGAAUUCCUGGUGUAGCGGUGGAAUGCGCAGAUAUCAGGAGGAACACCGGUGGCGAAGGCGGGUCUCUGGGCAGUAACUGACGCUGAGGAGCGAAAGCGUGGGGAGCGAACAGGAUUAGAUACCCCCGUAGUCC
RNAcentral lists this ribosomal RNA (429 nucleotides) under uncultured prokaryote. RNAcentral describes it as "bacterial SSU rRNA". It matches the Rfam family "Bacterial small subunit ribosomal RNA", at positions 355 to 796 of the family's 1533-position model. The record is from RNAcentral.